GACGAACGCUGGCGGCGUGCUUAACACAUGCAAGUCGAGCGGUAAGGCCCUUUCGGGGGUACACGAGCGGCGAACGGGUGAGUAACACGUGGGUGACCUGCCCUCAGCUCUGGGAUAAGCCUGGGAAACUGGGUCUAAUACCGGAUAUGACUCCAUGACGCAUGUUGGUGGGGUGGAAAGCCUUGUGCGGCUGAGGAUGGGCCCGCGGCCUAUCAGCUUGUUGGUGGGGUGAUGGCCGUACCAAGGCGACGACGGGUAGCCGGCCUCGAGAGGGCGACCGGCCGACACUGGGACUGAGACACGGCCCAGACUCCUACGGGAGGCGAGCAGUGGGGAAUCUUGCGCAAUGGGCGAAAGCCUGACGCAGCGACGCCGCGUGAGGGAU
RNAcentral lists this ribosomal RNA (385 nucleotides) under uncultured bacterium. RNAcentral's name for it is "bacterial SSU rRNA". It matches the Rfam family "Bacterial small subunit ribosomal RNA", at positions 28 to 409 of the family's 1533-position model. The record is from RNAcentral.